This is an RNA transcript of Lytechinus pictus (painted urchin), 550 nucleotides long. RefSeq lists it as uncharacterized. NCBI's taxonomy places the organism in Eukaryota, Metazoa, Echinodermata, Echinoidea, Temnopleuroida, Toxopneustidae. The transcript has 5 exons. The record is from RefSeq and is a predicted model, not a curated record.
AAGCACUUUGCGUUUGUUUGUGUAUCGUUGCAUUUUUUGCGAUGGGAGUGAAAGCCCAAACUACCGAUCGCACUGCACAGUUCGAAGCCCUAUGUGACAGAUACAGGCUGGUGGUUGACACGUGUGAAGAAGACCUAAGAGGACUUCUUACAUCUACUGAACAGUCCCUGUUCGAUGAAGCUGAGAAUGAUAUGGUGUGUCUGGUAGAGGAAGGAGAGCAGAAUAGGGCUGAGGCCUGUGAAAUCUUAGGAAAAAUUUGCCUUGAAGUUGUUGACUGUUCCUCUACAGCUCGUUUUAGACGUUCUUCGUCUGUCUCUGCCGAAUCGUCAUCCGUUGAAUCUAGUGAAACAGAAUCUAGUGAAACAGACUGAGGAGGUCAUCGCAGGCCAACGGUUGAAACACAGUAUCCCAUAUUUGCCUCGAGUGUCGUAAUGUGUAUGAAGAUCACUUCUUCAUUCGACUUUUAUAUAAGUAAAAGCACUCUGCGUUUGUUUGUGUAUCGUUGCAUUUUUUGCAUUGGGAUUAAAAGCCCAAACUACCGAUCGCACUG